CGGGAGGCAGCAGUAGGGAAUCUUCCACAAUGGACGAAAGUCUGAUGGAGCAACGCCGCGUGAGUGAUGAAGGUUUUCGGAUCGUAAAACUCUGUUGUUAAAGAAGAACAAGUGUUAGAGUAACUGUUAACACUUUGACGGUAUUUAACCAGAAAGCCACGGCUAACUACGUGCCAGCAGCCGCGGUAAUACGUAGGUGGCAAGCGUUGUCCGGAUUUAUUGGGCGUAAAGCGAGCGCAGGCGGUUUUGUAAGUCUGCUGUGAAAGCCCUCAGCUCAACUGAGGAAGUGCAGUGGAAACUACAAAACUUGAGUACAGAAGAGGAAAGUGGAACUCCAUGUGUAGCGGUGAAAUGCGUAGAUAUAUGGAAGAACACCAGUGGCGAAGGCGGCUUUCUGGUCUGUUACUGACGCUGAGGCUCGAAAGCAUGGGUAGCGAACAGGAUUAGAUACCCUGGUAGUCCAUGCCGUAAACGAUGAAUACUAGGUGUUGGAGGGUUUCCGCCCUUCAGUGCCGCAGCUAACGCAUUAAGUAUUCCGCCUGGGGAGUACGACCGCAAGGUUGAAACUCAAAGGAAUUGACGGGGGCCCGCACAAGUGGUGGAGCAUGUGGUUUAAUUCGAUGCUACGCGAAGAACCUUACCAGCUCUUGACAUCUUCUGCCAACCCAAGAGAUUGGGCGUUCCCUUCGGGGACAGAAUGACAGGUGGUGCAUGGUUGUCGUCAGCUCGUGUCGUGAGAUGUUGGGUUAAGUCCCGCAACGAGCGCAACCCUUAUUAUUAGUUGCCAGCAUUUAGUUGGGCACUCUAGUGAGACUGCCGGUGAUAAACCGGAGGAAGGUGGGGACGACGUCAAAUCAUCAUGCCCCUUAUGAGCUGGGCUACACACGUGCUACAAUGGAUGGUACAACGAGUCGCGAAACCGCGAGGUCAAGCUAAUCUCUUAAAGCCAUUCUCAGUUCGGAUUGCAGGCUGCAACUCGCCUGCAUGAAGUUGGAAUCACUAGUAAUCGUGGAUCAGCAUGCCA
RNAcentral lists this ribosomal RNA (1024 nucleotides) under Apilactobacillus kunkeei. RNAcentral's name for it is "bacterial SSU rRNA". It matches the Rfam family "Bacterial small subunit ribosomal RNA", at positions 342 to 1359 of the family's 1533-position model. The record is from RNAcentral. Lineage: Bacteria; Bacillati; Bacillota; Bacilli; Lactobacillales; Lactobacillaceae.